RNAcentral lists this long non-coding RNA (1034 nucleotides) under Oryzias javanicus (javanese ricefish). RNAcentral's name for it is "lncRNA (ENSOJAG00000000862.1)". Lineage: Eukaryota; Metazoa; Chordata; Actinopteri; Beloniformes; Adrianichthyidae. The record is from RNAcentral.
CCCAUCAGCAGCUCUCUGAGGGGGAGGAGCCACGACGACGAAGACGUCCUGAGACAUGGUGGCCUCGCCGUGAGGAGCGCGUGUGAAGACCUGCAGGCCGAGCGUCCGUCCGUCCGUCCGUCCGCUCGCGGUUCCCCCCGCCCCUCAGGUGAACCAUGGAGGUCUCCUGGCUCCUCCUCCUUGUGUCGGUCGCCGUCUUAGCCGCCAUCUUCCUGCUGCUGGUUGUCUGUGUGGACUGCUCAAACCAAGGCCCCAUGGCUCACAUCAGCCAGAGAGCCCCCUCAGAGGACGACAUGUCGAACCCGAGAUUCAUCGUCAUCCACCCAGGAUCCACGCUGCCGGUCCUGGACGGGAACGCCGCCCACACCUUGUCCGUCCCAGUGUCUCCAUACCCGACCGCUGCUGAGCCUGGAUCCUGGCGGCCCACCACCCCGACGGAAACGGAGAGCAACCCCAGCUACGAGAACUCAGGAACGCCUCCGGCACGGCCAGAGAGCGACGGCAAUGAGACCGGAUACAUGUAGGCUCCGCCCCCUGCCGCAGCACCUGCUCUGCUCUGCAGACGCUGACUGUCGUCUUCUUGUCCCGCAGACUCGUGUUGCCCGAAAGCGACCCUGAGAAAAGCUGCGCCUCCAUGGCCAACUCAGGUGAGCACACCUGCGGCUGUUCUGGAAUGAGACUCCGCCCUCUGUUGAUGAAGAGUUUUCUGGACAAACUCUCAAGUUUGAUUUCUUUGUUCCUUUCUGGUGAAGACGAGCAGGACUCCUCCUCCUCUUCAUCCUCAGAUAAUCUACACGAGUACGUGAACGUUGGUAAGUCCUCCACGCCGCUCAUCAUCUCCAAAGGCCUUGGCUCCGCCUCCUUCUACCAGCCCAUCGAUAAUGAUAAACGUGAUGUCACCAGGUGACACUCAGCUGUAGAGAGGAAAGAAAAAUGUGCUGGGGGGCGGGUCCGGUCAGAGGAGCGGGGCUUAUGAUGCGGGCGGAGCCACUUAGACUGACUUUGUAUUCCCAGAGCCCCAGGGUCCAGCAACU